Molecule: unclassified non-coding RNA, 230 nt
Filed under: uncultured bacterium
Lineage: Bacteria
Description: contains 16S-23S intergenic spacer region
Source: RNAcentral
UCCGUUUUGUCAACGGCAGUCUCAAUAGAGUGCUCGGCCGAACCGCUAGCAACUAUUGAUAAGGGUUGCGCUCGUUGCGGGACUUAACCCAACAUCUCACGACACGAGCUGACGACAGCCAUGCAGCACCUGUGCAUGGAUCCCGAAGGAGGCUCCUGGUUUCUCAGGAGUUUCCCAUGCAUGUCAAGCCUAGGUAAGGUUCUUCGCGUUGCUUCGAAUUAAACGAGCUG